UACUGCGCAUGUAUUAAUGUUUUACCAUAGGACAAACCUGUGAAAGACAUUAAGAAUAAAAGGCUGUUUAUCUCAUUGAACGAAGAACCAUCCAAACAACUUCCGCCGAAAAUCAAAGCUAUGUAGCCUCCACGUACAAACAAUCACUGAAGGCACAAACGCGUAGAUGGAUUUCAAAUACAGCGCGUGGAUGGUUUUAACUCUCACAAUAUCUUUUUCCAAAAGCGGAAAUGGCAACAAACUGAGAAUAUUUCGUCAUGAACGAGAUAUAUUUACCAACUUGAAUUAUUCAAGUUCACAGCCUGAUAGGAAUUAUAAUACCAUCUGUAUGAAGUACAACGCCGAAUGCCAUUUCAUCACUAAGUGUCGUCAUUGUGUGUGUAAAGAAGGAAUGAGCACUUUCGUCAUUAAUGGCAAUGGUGAGAAUAACAAAGGAAGUUGUAUUAAAGACGAAGAAUUGAAUCUAGAAUCAGAGUCAAACAUCGAUGCAUUUACUCUUGAAAAUAGUGAAGACGAGGAUGCUUGAAACAAGCUGGAAGACGUGUGAUUGUUACGACUUGUGGAAAUUCAUUGGAUAAGAAAUGGAUACUUCUCAACAAUAAGCAACUCAUGAAUGUGAAAUCACUUCGUUGUAUUACAAGAAGUAACAGGAAAGAUAGACAAGUAAUAAUGACGCAAUGUGUUAAAGACAGAGGUCGGCAAAAACUGAUGUGCGAGUCCCACCCACGACACAACGAAACAGAUUCCCCCGUGAUACUUUAUUUUAAAUUAAGUUUUAAGCGAGAAGAAUUGUACCUAGAACAAGAUGACAACGAAAGAGGCAUUUUCACGUCCAAUUCAAGUCAGCACUGGACAGCGCAUCAAAAUGGGGACCAAGUUGAUGUUUGCAGUAAAGUCACAGAGUACAAAGGUUGUUAUCGCCUUUCUGAUGGCAAUUUCUGGAAAUAUUUGAAUUUUAGCAAUAAUUCAAGUAUGGAAAAAUUCUCUAUUUUUGCACCUAUCAACAGAGAAAAUAAAAAUUGCGAUGUGGAACAAAACUUCAAAUAUACCAGAGACAGCAAUAAAAUAUAUAAGGGUUCAAAUAAUCUUUUCACAUUGAACAGCACUGGCCAGACUACCAAAGAAAUCAAGGUAAAAACGUUAUACAAAACGACACAAUCAAGGUGUAUAGAUCAAGUUAUCCAGCAUGAUAAUACGUAAAAAGACAUCGUACAUUACAAAAGGUCAAAAUUAAUAAGUUUUUAUGGACCCAGCCGCUGCUGGACAGUCCUUUGUUCUUCUAUAGCAACAUUUCGUAAACAAAUCAAGACUUAAAAAGUAACAGAAACAUUCAUAAAUAUUCUAC
Molecule: RNA transcript, 1345 nt
Organism: Xenia sp. Carnegie-2017
Lineage: Eukaryota; Metazoa; Cnidaria; Anthozoa; Malacalcyonacea; Xeniidae
Exons: 3
Source: RefSeq, a predicted model, not a curated record